UUGAUUAGAGUGGUUAGGGAAGUCAUUGGAAUGAACAUGUCUGUCUUCCAAUCCCUGUUAGCUUUCUUGGCCGUGCCUGCUUCAAAGUCAAAGGCAACCAAAUGGUUAUUGGUAGCAAAAUUAAUGCACAAGGGAGUGAUAACAUGUGAAGAGAACACAAAAAGUUCCAACGAGUUGAUGUGUGUGGAAGCAUCUUUAAGCAGCCUUGUAAAUGAAGGUACUAAUGUUGCAACGAUGCAGACUGCACAUGAAAGGUUGGAGGCUUUGGAGAAUGGAAUUGAAAUCAUAGAAAAUGGUUUGGAGAGCGUAUUCAGGCGCAUGGUUAGAACAAGAGCCUGUCUUUUGAACAUCAUGACUCAAUAGAGUUUAGACAGUGAUUUUCUCUCCAAAUCCUCCAAAGUAUCCAAGUUUUAGGGAUCAGUUGAGGGUUGAAAAGUUUUGCCCCAUCAAUUUGUACAUGUAUACAAUUCAAAAGUCUUAACGAUGAAAUACAACUGAAUGUUUAUACUCUAUGUUUCGAUAUAUUUUUUCUUCAGGUCACCUUUUUCCUUGAGAGAAUAUUGCUUUACACUUAUCAUAUUUCUGUGACUAAGCAUAUAAUUUACUUGUUAGAGAAUGUUGGGUAAGUCAACGUCCUUAUCAGUUAAAAGUUCAUACUUAUAGUUAUCUUUUAAAAGCUACAAAACAGCCAAACUCAC
This 698-nucleotide long non-coding RNA is filed under the name Vigna radiata. Its description in RNAcentral is "long non-coding RNA (VRAD_LNC011637)". The record is from RNAcentral. Lineage: Eukaryota; Viridiplantae; Streptophyta; Magnoliopsida; Fabales; Fabaceae.